GAUAAACGCUGGCGGCGCACAUAAGACAUGCAAGUUGAACGGACUUAAUCGAAAUAUUUAUAUUUUGAAGCGGUUAGUGGCGGACUGGUGAGUAACGCGUAAGGAACCUGCCUAUUAGAGGGGAAUAACAGUGAGAAAUCAUUGCUAAUACCGCAUAUGCCAUAGAUAUCACAUGAUAACAGUGGGAAAGGAGCAAUCCGCUAAUAGAUGGCCUUGCGUCUGAUUAGAUAGUUGGUGGGGUAACGGCCUACCAAGUCGACGAUCAGUAGCCGGACUGAGAGGUUGAACGGCCACAUUGGGACUGAGAUACGGCCCAGACUCCUACGGGAGGCAGCAGUCGGGAAUAUUGCGCAAUGGAGGAAACUCUGACGCAGUGACGCCGCGUAGAGGAAGAAGGUUUUCGGAUUGUAAACUAUUGUCGUUAGGGAAGAGAAAGGACAGUACCUAAGGAGGAAGCUCCGGCUAACUACGUG
Molecule: ribosomal RNA, 473 nt
Filed under: uncultured bacterium
Lineage: Bacteria
Description: partial 16S ribosomal RNA
Rfam family: Bacterial small subunit ribosomal RNA
Source: RNAcentral